GUCCCACAGUUUGAUCCUGGCUCAGAACGAACGCUGGCGGCAGGCUUAACACAUGCAAGUCGAGCGCCCCGCAAGGGGAGCGGCAGACGGGUGAGUAACGCGUGGGAACAUACCUUUUGGUUCGAACAACACAGGGAAACUUGUGCUAAUACCGGAUAAGCCCUUACGGGGAAAGAUUUAUCGCCGAAAGAUUGGCCCGCGUCUGAUUAGCUAGUUGGUGAGGUAAUGGCUCACCAAGGCGACGAUCAGUAGCUGGUCUGAGAGGAUGAUCAGCCACAUUGGGACUGAGACACGGCCCAAACUCC
Molecule: ribosomal RNA, 305 nt
Filed under: uncultured bacterium
Lineage: Bacteria
Description: partial 16S ribosomal RNA
Rfam family: Bacterial small subunit ribosomal RNA
Source: RNAcentral